GUGAAUAUGGUCAAAUGGUAAAAUUUCUCUUUGUCAAGGAGAAGAUGCGGGUUCAAUUCCUGCUAUCUACC
Molecule: transfer RNA, 71 nt
Filed under: Zingiber officinale
Lineage: Eukaryota; Viridiplantae; Streptophyta; Magnoliopsida; Zingiberales; Zingiberaceae
Rfam family: tRNA
About the family: Transfer RNA (tRNA) molecules are approximately 80 nucleotides in length. Their secondary structure includes four short double-helical elements and three loops (D, anti-codon, and T loops).
Source: Rfam by way of RNAcentral